UCUAUUCCCACAGCCUGUCCUGCCUCCUCCGCCCAUUCUCCUCGCGUCACCACGGGAGCCUCGCCGACGCCUGCUAUUCCUCCUCCCUCGUCUCUGUUCGACGCCGAGGACCAGUUCACCCCACACCUUUUCUCCACCCACGACCUAGGGUUGGGGAGGCUGGGUGUUCUCGCUGGGGUGGAGGAGCAGGGGAGGGCCGGGAGGCCGAAGGUGGGGGAGCAGCGAGGCCGGCGAAUGGAGCAGCGAGACCCGAAUUCUAGGCAUUGUACACAUUGCGGGAUGGAGAAGAGGCCGAUGUGGGGCGCAAGGAGCAGAGGGGCAAGAAAGGUGGGGGUGUGACUUUCAUCUCCUCUCUUCUAAUCGCGACUCUUGCGACCUCGUCAUCGGUGCUCGCUCGGCUGGCGUACGGGGCGGCGGCAGGGACGUUGGCCCUCGGCACGAACUCGAAGCCGAGUCUAGCUGACGAGCCCCGUGCGAUUGUGUGAAGCAAAUGUACGUGGCGAUGCAGGCCAGUUGGUAGUGUAGCAGCCUGCACAUAUGACAGGAGCAGCAGCCAGGUCCAUGGGCGGUUGCUUGCGGAGCAGCGGUCAAGUCACGGGGUACCACCAAUUGAGAAAAUAACUUUCCUUCUUGUGAGAGGGUCCAGCAUCUGAAGAAGAAAUUUUAUUUUCACUUUCAAGACUAUGUGGAUCUUAUCAUAUGGAAGGUACCUAAUAUAUAUACAUUCAAGACUAGCUUUAUUGAAUCACAAUAGUAUUGUGGAAACAUAGUUUGUUGGUUCUGAACAUUUGCGGCACAUAAAUUUUAGCUUUCAGGAAUUAUGAUAUUGGCCAUUUCCACUGAACAAUAGAAGGACACAUGUAAGGACAUAUAGAAACUGAAGUUAGGAUAUAGUGUGAGAAUAGUACACCGAUUUAGUAAGGCAAGUACUGGCUUGUUUUGUCAUCCCUGUGAUGAAAGUUAGUUUAGGUAAUCUUGGUAUAAAACCAUUUCCUUAAAUUGUAACUUAUGGUCAGACGGGGAUUGUUAUUUCACCUGAAUAUUUGAUUAUGCUUCUAAGUUAUGGGAAAUAGAUAAAGUAAGAGGAAAUGGGGCGUUGUUAGGUGGGAUCUUGCCACGGUGGCGUUGGUGAUGUCUGUAGUAUUUUCGUCCUCGCCAGUCACACUAUUCCUAGGUUAUGGGAUUGGAUCUCCAUUUUCCAAGAUUCUUAGCUGAUAAGUAUAUUGUGCGGAAAAAUCUCUACUGAAUGACAAAUCCAAGCAAUCUGGAUACUCCAUGGGACAAAGUUGAAGCUUUGUACAUCACUUCUCUACCUGUUUAUUAAUGUUUCUUCAUGUUUGGCAGUGAUCUGGGUUUCCAUCGACGAAGAUUUCAUGCUCAACCUCCCUCACAGCCCCAGGUUGUGGCAACGCUGCAGAUAUGCCCAUUGCCAUUGAGCAUUUCUAUCUAUAUGCUUCUACAGAGUAUUUGGUUUUUUAACUAUACGCUUGACGAAAUAAUUUCCUUAUAAGCCGGGACAAGGCGUUUGUAGUUGGUAUUUGUACUAUAAGCUCAAUUUUUUUGGUUCAUCUCAUCUCUGGUUAUUUUUUCGUUUUUUGUGUUUCUGCAGCAUAUUAUCAUUAGCAUGUAAAACCUCUUAUAUUUCUUGUUUUCAACAAUUAUUCUUUGGCAGGGAAGACUAUGAUAACACUAAGAUUAUCAGGAAAGGAUUCAGAGCUUUUUUUUAAUCCAGAUUAUCACACAUGAUGCAAAAUUAACAACCACGACUUUGAAAUAUGGAGAUGAUGCUUAUUAUGUGCUAGAAAUCAAAUAUGUAAAGGAGAAGAUAAUGUUUGCGAAGGAGAGGGGAGAGAGAUACGGGUUGAUUCUGGGUAAACUUUGCUUAAUUUGUUGGAGAAAAUGCUCGAUAGAUCUCAUGGAUGGAUGAGGUUGUGGCAGUAGUUCUCGGGUGCAAUAUCUAUCUUGAUAGAGUGAUCGAUCAGGGCACAUUAGAAGCAGAAAGAAGAGGAAACGUUUGGGCCGUCUAUGGCGUUGAAGAUUCAGUGUUUCUGUCUUGUGUACAUGCACGGCCAGUUCAGUAACUAGAUGGCCUUUUCUACUGUACUGGUGCUGCUACUUUUCACAUGCUAGCUUCUUUGGAAAGCGCCAACAGUGUGUACAACAUGUAAAGAGUCCAUGUUGAAAGAACAGAAGCAGAAGUAUGGAGUUGAUGUAUUAAUGGUCAAUCAAGGAAUUCAGUCUCGAUGAGCU
Triticum aestivum (bread wheat) is the source of this 2250-nucleotide long non-coding RNA. RefSeq lists it as uncharacterized. The transcript has 9 exons. The record is from RefSeq and is a predicted model, not a curated record. Lineage: Eukaryota; Viridiplantae; Streptophyta; Magnoliopsida; Poales; Poaceae.